Molecule: ribosomal RNA, 615 nt
Filed under: uncultured archaeon
Lineage: Archaea
Description: bacterial SSU rRNA
Rfam family: Archaeal small subunit ribosomal RNA
Source: RNAcentral
UUCCGGNUGAUCCNGCCGGAGGUUACUCCUAUCGAGGUUCGACUAAGCCAUGCGAGUCGAAUGCCGCAAGGCAUGGCGUACUGCUCAGUAACACGUGGACAACCUACCCUUAGGACUGGGAUAACCCCGGGAAACUGGGAAUAAUCCCCGAUAGUCCUCGAAGGCUGGAAUGCAUCGAGGGCGAAAGCUCCGGCGCCUAAGGAUGGGUCUGCGGCCUAUCAGGUAGUAGUGGGUGUAGCGUACCUACUAGCCUACGACGGGUACGGGUUGUGAGAGCAAGAGCCCGGAGAUGGAUUCUGAGACACGAAUCCAGGCCCUACGGGGUGCAGCAGGCGCGAAAACUUUACAAUGCUGGCAACAGCGAUAAGGGAACCUCGAGUGCCAGGUUACAAAUCUGGCUGUCGAGAUGCCUAAAAAGCAUUUCAUAGCAAGGGCCGGGCAAGACCGGUGCCAGCCGCCGCGGUAACACCGGCGGCUCGAGUGGUAACCGUUAUUAUUGGGUCUAAAGGGUCUGUAGCCGGCCGGAUAAGUCUCUUGGGAAAUCUGGCAGCUCAACUGUCAGGCUAUCAGGAGAUACUGUCUGGCUCGAGGCCGGGAGAGGUGAGAGGUACUUCA